Molecule: long non-coding RNA, 301 nt
Filed under: Capsicum annuum
Lineage: Eukaryota; Viridiplantae; Streptophyta; Magnoliopsida; Solanales; Solanaceae
Description: long non-coding RNA (CANN_LNC000017)
Source: RNAcentral
UCUCAUUUGAAACCAUCCCUAGCGAACCCCUCACAUCUCCGCAGUGGGGCAUUCGUGCUCCUCCGCAUCACAUGACCGAACCAUCUCAACCUCACUUCCCUUAUCUUGGCUUCCACCGAAGCCACUCCCACCGUAACUCGAAUAACCUCAUUUCUAAUCCUAUCUUUUCUAGUACACCCACACAUCCACCGAAGCAUUCUCAUCUCCGCCACCUUAAUUCAUCUUCUGACUGUGGGUCAUUUUAACAGGCUAACACUCCACCUCAAACAACAAAACCGAUCUAACCACCACUCUGUAAAAU